AUUGAACGCUGGCGGCAGGCCUAACACAUGCAAGUCGAACGGUAACAGGGAUCAGCUUGCUGAUUCGCUGACGAGUGGCGGACGGGUGAGUAAUGUCUGGGAAACUGCCUGAUGGUGGGGGAUAACUACUGGAAACGGUAGCUAAUACCGCAUAACGUCGCAAGACCAAAGAGGGGGACCUUCGGGCCUCUUGCCAUCGGAUGUGCCCAGAUGGGAUUAGCUAGUAGGUGGGGUAACGGCUCACCUAGGCGACGAUCCCUAGCUGGUCUGAGAGGAUGACCAGCCACACUGGAACUGAGACACGGUCCAGACUCCUACGGGAGGCAGCAGUGGGGAAUAUUGCACAAUGGGCGCAAGCCUGAUGCAGCCAUGCCGCGUGUAUGAAGAAGGCCUUCGGGUUGUAAAGUACUUUCAGCGGGGAGGAAGGGAGUAAAGUUAAUACCUUUGCUCAUUGACGUUACCCGCAGAAGAAGCACCGGCUAACUCCGUG
RNAcentral lists this ribosomal RNA (490 nucleotides) under uncultured bacterium. Its description in RNAcentral is "partial 16S ribosomal RNA". It matches the Rfam family "Bacterial small subunit ribosomal RNA", at positions 30 to 507 of the family's 1533-position model. The record is from RNAcentral.